GAUGACACCAGUCAGGUGACCAUCGAAACGUAAUACGUCACAGAGACUUCGUGUCCUGAUGAUAUGGCGAGCUGCGCCGUCCACGUUUCUCUUUCUUCAAAAGGAUAUCGAACCAUGGGUUUGCGCUCGCGCGCUGUUCGCACCUUCGGUGCUGCGCUCCGCGGGGGCGCCGGACGACCGGCGACGGCCUCUGGCCUGUAUGGGCGACCCUUUCCGAGGUUUUGCUUGGGAUUGGCGUCGACGCAGAGAGAUGGGCCCGUAGCUCAGUUGGUUAGAGCACACGCUUGAUAAGCGUGGGGUCGGAAGUUCAAGCUUCCA
RNAcentral lists this unclassified non-coding RNA (318 nucleotides) under Rhizobium leguminosarum. Its description in RNAcentral is "partial 16S-23S ribosomal RNA gene intergenic spacer". The stretch from base 253 to 318 matches the Rfam family "tRNA". Lineage: Bacteria; Pseudomonadati; Pseudomonadota; Alphaproteobacteria; Hyphomicrobiales; Rhizobiaceae. The record is from RNAcentral.